GUCCCACAUUGGACUGAAAUGGCCAGAUCUUCACCCUAGGGCAUGGAUCAGUCUUUGGAUCUCUCUUCCAGGCAUGCUACAGAGUCAGCAUCUCAAGUGGAAGACCCCAAGCCCUGAUGGGGCACACUCCAUCCUGUCCCGGAAACUACACUAUAUUGAAAAUCACUCCGGGUGCAGGGGCUGUUUCAGCAAUACAUUCCACAGCGAACAUGCUCAAAUGGCAAAGCCGCAUCUGUGACUCCAGUUCCCUAAAGAAGAGUUCCUGGGAGUUUCAAAGUCAUUCUGUUGGACGUGGAGGUGGCUCAGUGAUAAAACAAUACUCUGAGAGGUUGGCCCAUUUGGGAAGGUUCCAGUGCAUGCAGCCACUGACAAUUAAAAAAUAAAAGAAG
Long non-coding RNA from Tupaia belangeri chinensis (Chinese tree shrew), 389 nucleotides. RefSeq lists it as uncharacterized. Lineage: Eukaryota; Metazoa; Chordata; Mammalia; Scandentia; Tupaiidae. The transcript is spliced from 4 exons. The record is from RefSeq and is a predicted model, not a curated record.